GGCCUCGUAGCUCAGCUGGUAGAGCCUGCGCUGUACCAAAGCGUAGGCGGCGUCUGUGCGUGGGUUCGAAUCCCCUUGAGGCUA
Molecule: transfer RNA, 84 nt
Filed under: Echinostoma caproni
Lineage: Eukaryota; Metazoa; Platyhelminthes; Trematoda; Plagiorchiida; Echinostomatidae
Rfam family: tRNA
About the family: Transfer RNA (tRNA) molecules are approximately 80 nucleotides in length. Their secondary structure includes four short double-helical elements and three loops (D, anti-codon, and T loops).
Source: Rfam by way of RNAcentral